GCCGGAGCGGCGGCGGCGGUGGGGGUGGGGGUGGGGGUCGGGCCCCCGCGGCGCUCCCCACCCCCCACCCCCGCGCUACCUCGGGCUCGGUGCACGCGUAGCCGGGCCGGCAGGUCCCCCGCCCCGGGGCGCACGGCCCGGGCCCCGAAGUCCGGCCGCCGACGCCUGGGGACCCGCGGGCCGCGCUCCCGCCGCCGAGCGCGCACCCCCGCCGGGACACGGACGCACACUCACCCGACACACACCGGCUCCCGCUCCCGCUCGCCCUCGGCGGAGAGUUGCAGCAGCUGCGGGUUCGCCCGGGGCCGGGGGGGCGCGUGUGCGCUGUGCGCGUGCAGACGGGGGGCGCAUCGCUAACAAAUCGAACCCGCCAUAAAGUGAGGAGCGCGGCUGGCCGGGUCCGCGGGGGGCGGACGGGGGCGGACGGGGAGCGGGCUUGCCGCGGGCCGCCUUGCUCCUCCCCGGCCCGGCGCUCCCCGCGCAGCGACACGUUAAUAAAUGUUUCCUUUUAUCCGCUUUCACAAGGGCCCGCCCGGGUCUGCAAACACCCGGCCGCCCUUUGCCGAGAGCCCGCCGGUCGGCUCGCCCCGCACCGCGCACCUGGCCCUGGAGCCGCCGGCUGCAGCCCGAGCGCCCAGCUAGACCGCAGGGUGAACUGCCCAGCGCCCCGGAGGCUUCCCGAGAUCCCACAGGCUAAAAAAAUAUAUUGGAGUGUAACCUACAUCAGAAGAGUGCCCAGAUCCCAAAGGCAAACUUGAAUCGUCACAAGGUGAGGUACACACCUGACCCAGCCCCCAGAGGAAGAAAUGGCACCACCAGUUAAUAGAGGUCAUCUGCAUACACUUUCCGAGGGGCACAAUUUCAUCCUUGGUGUAAGGGAGACUGGACCCCAGCCAGCCUCCAUCUCCCCCAGCUGUUCCAUUUGAGUCGUUGAUGUACUGUUUUACGUACUGGACUUCCUGAAAGGGACCCUACCUGUGUCUUCAGAUUUUAAUUUCAUCUUGAUUCUACCCUGCUGGCAGCAGAUACUCCAAAUCACAGAAUGUGGUGUCAGAAAUCUGGAAGAGAUGGGUCAUAUUUGUUUUAACUGCUGGAAGAAAAGCCCCCUGGGGAGUCGGCCAGUGGAGGCAGGAGCUCAGCUCGCCUGAGUUAGAGGGCCAGUGGGCCAACAGUGGGGACGAAGGACAUGCACA
RNAcentral lists this long non-coding RNA (1193 nucleotides) under Canis lupus familiaris (dog). RNAcentral describes it as "lncRNA (ENSCAFG00845022816.1)". Lineage: Eukaryota; Metazoa; Chordata; Mammalia; Carnivora; Canidae. The record is from RNAcentral.